RNAcentral lists this ribosomal RNA (422 nucleotides) under uncultured bacterium. RNAcentral describes it as "bacterial SSU rRNA". It matches the Rfam family "Bacterial small subunit ribosomal RNA", at positions 355 to 770 of the family's 1533-position model. The record is from RNAcentral.
CCGAGAAUUUUUCACAAUGGGCGAAAGCCUGAUGGAGCGACGCCGCGUGGGGGAUGAAUGGCUUCGGCCCGUAAACCCCUGUCAUUCGCGAGCAAACGUUAUUAUUUAAAAGAUGAUAGCCUGAUAGUAGCGAAAGAGGAAGGGACGGCUAACUCUGUGCCAGCAGCCGCGGUAAUACAGAGGUCCCAAGCGUUGUUCGGAUUUACUGGGCGUAAAGGGUGCGUAGGUGGUGGGGUAAGUCGGAUGUGAAAUCUCCGAGCUCAACUCGGAAAGUGCAUUGGAAACUACACUGCUCGAGGGUUGGAGGGGGGACUGGAAUACUUGGUGUAGCAGUGAAAUGCGUAGAUAUCAAGUGGAACACCAGUGGCUGACGCGAGUCCCUGGACAACUCCUGACACUGAGGCACGAAAGCUAGGGGAGCA